This 253-nucleotide ribosomal RNA is filed under the name uncultured bacterium. RNAcentral describes it as "partial 16S ribosomal RNA". It matches the Rfam family "Bacterial small subunit ribosomal RNA", at positions 524 to 776 of the family's 1533-position model. The record is from RNAcentral.
UACGUAGGGUCCGAGCGUUGUCCGGAGUUACUGGGCGUAAAGCGCGCGCAGGCGGCUGAUCAGGCCUAACGUGAAAGUCCUCGGCUUAACCGGGGAGAGUCGUUGGGGACCGGUCAGCUUGAGGGCGGCAGGGGCUGGUGGAAUUCCCGGUGUAGUGGUGAAAUGCGUAGAGAUCGGGAGGAACACCUGUGGCGAAGGCGGCCAGCUGGGCCGGCUCUGACGCUGAGGCGCGAAGGCGUGGGGAGCGAACGGG